Long non-coding RNA from Oncorhynchus tshawytscha (Chinook salmon), 321 nucleotides. The record is from Ensembl. NCBI's taxonomy places the organism in Eukaryota, Metazoa, Chordata, Actinopteri, Salmoniformes, Salmonidae.
GGUUAGAGCGUAGAGGCGGCAGGGUAGCCUAGUGGUUAGAGCGUAGAGGCGGCAGGGUAGCCUAGUGGUUAGAGCGUAGGGGCGGCAGGGUAGCCUAGUGGUUAGAGCGUAGAGGCGGCAGGGUAGCCUAGUGGUUAGAGCGUAGAGGCGGCAGGGUAGCCUAGUGGUUAGAGCGUAGGGGCGGCAGGGUAGCCUAGUGGUUAGAGCGUAGGGGCGGCAGGGUAGCCUAGUGGUUAGAGCGUAGAGGCGGCAGGGUAGCCUAGUGGUUAGAGCGUAGAGGCGGCAGGGUAGCCUAGUGGUUAGAGCGUAGAGGCGGCAGGG